Molecule: long non-coding RNA, 237 nt
Organism: Rhagoletis pomonella (apple maggot)
Lineage: Eukaryota; Metazoa; Arthropoda; Insecta; Diptera; Tephritidae
Exons: 2
Source: RefSeq, a predicted model, not a curated record
GUCGAAUCCUUGGAGUACCUAAUGUUGUGAUAAUCUCCGAAUAUUCACACUUGCAAACCAAAAUACUCGCGUCACUUUUUAAGAGCAGCGUAAGCUGUCACCGACAUGGGCAGUGAGCACUACUGCUUGAGGUGGAACAAUCAUCAAUCCAACCUGUUAGGGGUGUUUAGUCAAUUACUACAGGACGAGAGUCUGGUGGACGUCACAUUAGCUUGUUCAGAGGGCGCCCUCAUCAAA